This 254-nucleotide ribosomal RNA is filed under the name uncultured bacterium. Its description in RNAcentral is "partial 16S ribosomal RNA". It matches the Rfam family "Bacterial small subunit ribosomal RNA", at positions 524 to 776 of the family's 1533-position model. The record is from RNAcentral.
UACGUAGGCAGCAAGCGUUGUUCGGAGUUACUGGGCGUAAAGGGUGUGUAGGCGGUUCUUUAAGUUUGGUGUGAAAUCUCCCGGCUCAACCGGGAGGGUGCGCCGAAUACUGAGGGACUCGAGUGCGGGAGAGGAGAGUGGAAUUCCUGGUGUAGCGGUGAAAUGCGCAGAUAUCAGGAAGAACACCCGUGGCUAAGGCGGCUCUCUAGUACGGUACUGACGCUGAGACGCGAAAAGCGUGGGGAGCGAACAGG